RNAcentral lists this ribosomal RNA (275 nucleotides) under uncultured archaeon. RNAcentral describes it as "partial 16S ribosomal RNA". It matches the Rfam family "Archaeal small subunit ribosomal RNA", at positions 748 to 1046 of the family's 1478-position model. The record is from RNAcentral.
AGGGUGUAAACGCUGCAGACUUGGUGUUGGAAAUCCUUCGAGGGUAUUCAGUGCCGGAGAGAAGUUGUUAAGUCUGCUACUUGGGGAGUACGUCCGCAAGGAUGAAACUUAAAGGAAUUGGCGGGGGAGCACCGCAACGGGAGGAGCGUGCGGUUAAUUGGAUUCAACACCGUAAAACUCACCAGGGAAGACUGUUACAUGAAGGCCAGGCUGAUGACCUUGCUGAUUUUCGAGAGGAGGUGCAUGGCGUAGUCGUGUGACGUCUACGCCAUGCA